UACGUAGGCGGCGAGCGUUGUCCGGAUUUACUGGGCGUAAAGGGUGCGUAGGUGGUUUCUUAAGUCAGAGGUGAAAGGCUACGGCUCAACCGUAGUAAGCCUUUGAAACUGGGAAACUUGAGUGCAGGAGAGGAGAGUGGAAUUCCUAGUGUAGCGGUGAAAUGCGUAGAUAUUAGGAGGAACACCAGUUGCGAAGGCGGCUCUCUGGACUGUAACUGACACUGAGGCACGAAAGCGUGGGGAGCAAACAGGAUUAGAUACCCUGGUAGUCCCUGA
RNAcentral lists this ribosomal RNA (276 nucleotides) under uncultured prokaryote. RNAcentral's name for it is "partial 16S ribosomal RNA". It matches the Rfam family "Bacterial small subunit ribosomal RNA", at positions 524 to 800 of the family's 1533-position model. The record is from RNAcentral.